RNAcentral lists this transfer RNA (72 nucleotides) under Ursus americanus (American black bear). It matches the Rfam family "tRNA". From Rfam's summary of the family: Transfer RNA (tRNA) molecules are approximately 80 nucleotides in length. Their secondary structure includes four short double-helical elements and three loops (D, anti-codon, and T loops). Lineage: Eukaryota; Metazoa; Chordata; Mammalia; Carnivora; Ursidae. The record is from Rfam by way of RNAcentral. RNAcentral also lists the same sequence under 2 other names.
ACCUGGCUGGCUCAGUCAGUAGAGUGUGUGACUUGUGAUCUUAGGGUUGUGGUUUGAACCCCAUGUUGGGUG